UCUCCGUAGGUGAACCUGCGGAGGGAUCAUUACUGAGUGAGGGCUCCGGCCCGACCUCCAACCCCAUGUGAACCAAAACCUGUUGCUUCGGGGGCGACCCUGCCUUUCGGCGCGGCGCCCCCGGAGGCCAUUAAACACUGCAUCAUUGCGUCGGAGUUAAAGUGAAUUAAACAAAACUUUCAACAACGGAUCUCUUGGUUCUGGCAUCGAUGAAGAACGCAGC
This 223-nucleotide unclassified non-coding RNA is filed under the name uncultured fungus. Its description in RNAcentral is "sequence contains ITS1, 5.8S rRNA gene". The stretch from base 175 to 223 matches the Rfam family "5.8S ribosomal RNA", at positions 1 to 49 of the family's 154-position model. Lineage: Eukaryota; Fungi. The record is from RNAcentral.